Molecule: unclassified non-coding RNA, 299 nt
Organism: Callithrix jacchus (white-tufted-ear marmoset)
Lineage: Eukaryota; Metazoa; Chordata; Mammalia; Primates; Cebidae
Rfam family: Metazoan signal recognition particle RNA
About the family: The signal recognition particle (SRP) is a universally conserved ribonucleoprotein.
Source: Ensembl
GCCAGGUGCAGUGGCACAUGCUUGUAGUCCCAGCUACUCAGGAGGAUGAGGUGGGAGGAUUGCUUGAGCCCAGGAGUUAUGGGCUGUAGUGUGCUAUGCUGAUAGGGUGUCUGCACUAAGUUCAGCAUUAAUAUGGUGACCGCCCAAGAGCAAGGUCCACCAGGUUGCCUAAGGAGGGGUGAACCAACCCAUAUCAGAAACGGAGCAGGUCAAAACUCCCGUGCUGAUCAGUAGUGGGAUCGCACCUGUGCAUAGCCACUGCACCCCAGCCUGGGCAACACAGUGACACUGUCUCUCUC